This is a long non-coding RNA of Strigops habroptila (Kakapo), 7099 nucleotides long. RefSeq lists it as uncharacterized. The transcript is spliced from 3 exons. NCBI's taxonomy places the organism in Eukaryota, Metazoa, Chordata, Aves, Psittaciformes, Psittacidae. The record is from RefSeq and is a predicted model, not a curated record.
UUUUUUGUUUGUAUUUGUUUUUAUUAUUAUUUAAACACUUUAAAUAAAGUACGUGUGGACUUUGUGGUCUCUUUGUCAGGCCAGCCUCCUCUGUUUCUCCAGCCCUUUCUUAAUGGCUUUCUGUAUAUAGUCUGUAUUAGAUACACCUCUUUCUCAGGGACCAGCAUUCCAAAGCUGGGUGCUGUGCUCCAGCUGAGACCUGCCUUCUGUUUUGUCUUUGGUGCCCAUAAAGUGCAGUGCUGCUGUCACAAUAAACACUGUUGACUCAUGUUCCCCUUGUCAUUCCUCCACAACCAGUAGAUCAUUUUCUGUGGAGUUAUUUAGCUCGUUCUUUCCGUCCAGUAUUUCUGUGAUUGAGGUGGCCGCAAUAAUAAGUAACUGCAGCUUUUUCCCCUCAAUGAGGGUCUUGGUCUGGAUGGUCAAUAUGUCAAUGAAACUCUUCCUGGAGGGAAGCGAGAUCCACACGAGGAAGUUGUGUGGCCUUGGGGCGGAAACAGAACUGGAAAAGAUGCUGAGGCUCUUCAAUAUCCCCUGGUGGGUAUAAGCCAGCUAAUGUUUUCAUGGUGGUUUGGCUGUGUCCUUGCAGUCACAGAUCAGACAGCACUGCUCCCCGGAUAUUUAUCCCUUUAUGCAUAUAAAGGAAGGAAUUUUACCCCUUUUCAGCCUUCAGUCUCAUGAAGUGCCGAUGUACCUGAAGAGAUCUGUGCCAAAGAGAGUCUUGGCUGUUCUUCUCCGGACUUGUGCUUUGCUAACAAGAACAACUGCAUUUUUCCUGACUUUUCAGAUCUGUUUCAUCCUGGUGUCACAGCACAAGGGAUCCAGUUUUCACUGCUGGGUCUUGAACCUUGGAGCAACAUAAAGAAGUGUGAGUGUAAUAGAUGGUGCUUUGAGGAUCGAGUUGAUGGGCUGAGUGGGUGAAAUCUAUCCUCCCCAUCCCCACAACCUGAGUGCUGCAAUUGGGUGAGGAGCAAACUGUGCCAAAACUGGACCCAACAGAAUCUUACAAGGGGUUUCAGACCGAAAAACAUGCUGGAGGGAACAGAAAAGGUCUGGGUAGAAAAAGAGAGGGUGGAUUUCAUGUUAAUCUCUAUCUGUACUGAGUGUAGCACUACAGUUCUUGGAAAAUGACGUGUUAUUUUCUUUUAAAUAUGAAAAAAGCAAAAUCUAGGACUAAGUGGUAGAUAUUAAAUAUUGAAUAUACCGAGAAAAAGGAUUUGUCAUCUGCUAAGCAUGAAAAGGCUUCACUUCAAAAAGAACCAGCCUGGCUAGGCCCUAUGUGUUUGUUUUUCUUGAUAUGGAUCAUGUAUUCCCAUUCCUGUUAAAGCAACAUUUACAUUUGGGUAAAUGGAAGAGCUUUUGCUUUACAGAAACGUUCUUACAAAAGCAGUGAUUUAAUCAGAUGCACUUCACAGAAUACUCCCAGUUCAGCCUCUUGUGUGCUGGGGUUCAGCGUUGUGCAAACAGGAUCAGGAACUCUUUGCUUACCAAGCAGCGAAUCAGCUGCUUAGUCAGAUAGGCAAAACACCCUGUUGAGCACACACACAGUACUACUAGAGACAUAAAGUCCUGAUAAUUUAGCUUUCUUCUGUAGUGACAUUGGUUGUGGGGUCAGGCAUUUUGGGUAGUAGCUGUACAAAGUGCCUCAGUGUUCUGUGUGUCUUCUGAAUGGAGCUCAAAGCAUGGAUUUCAAGCUGGAAUGUGUGCUUGGAGAUGGGCUCGGAAGUGUUCCGAGGCUCAUGUGCUGCAUUAUUCCUUUUGAAAGUUCCCAGAGCUUGAGACACGUUGUGUAUAUUUAAAAGCCCCAUGAGGGAAGGAAUAAAAUACAUUCUUCUUCUUUCCUCCAUACUUCAUGAAUAGCUUCUUUCUUGAAAACACAAAAUGAUAUAACUUGGUUUAUUUUCUUAGGUCUACUUCUACUGUUUUUACAGUAAUCUUAAAAAUGUACUCUUUCUGUCAUUGUUCCUUAAAUAUUUGCUUUCCUACCUCAGCCUCAGGAGUGGAAAAGCCAUAGGAAAUGGGUGUUUGUGGUUUAAUAACGUUUUAACUUCUUCUGGUAGCCGAAAGUUCUAGAAGUCACUGCAGCAGGGGCAAAACAAGUCGAGUUGCAUUUCCAGAUCUUGUUUCUUUGUGUGGAAAUUCUGUGGCCACCCUCUGGUUUUUCCCAAAGCAGUUUCCCAGGUCAGUCACACACAACUCUAAUCUGUGUGAAAACAAAAGAAAUAAGUCACUUCUGGGGUGUCUUACUACAGGCAUCAGAAAACAGGGAUGCCAGCUAUCAUAAAUGAGAGUGUGGGAUUGUAAGGCAAGGUGAGCGUUCAUCUGAGAGAACAGGUAGGUCUGCAGGAUCAGAAUAUGAAUAUAUAGACACAAAUCUCUGCAUACCGCUUACUAAAAGUAAGUUCUAGUACCAGGAAAAGUGCUAGUCCAAGGACAGUACAAUGAUAUAAAUGUCACCUUUGGUUUUUAUUCUGCAAGGUGAAAUGGAGGGGUUCUGCUGUAUUAUUUCCUAGCUUGGGGUGAGUACUGAAGGUGGCUUUUUGCUCCUUUAAAAUGAAGACAGUGGCUUUCCAGCUUCUGAUUUUCAGACACCAGCAAAAUAUCUUCCCCUUAAUUUAAUCUUCCAGCUUUCCUUCUGUAAAUACAACACGUCUUUACUCAGUGUCUCUGAAUGUGAAGGAAACACAGGUGGGACUUGGAGCUAGGGCUGGGAAAGGAAUUUCAGCAAAGGGGGGUAUUGCUUGAGUAUGGUUUUAAUUUUUUUUCUAGAAAGGGCUGCUUCUAUCACAGAUUCACUUUCUCAUCAUGGAUUGUCCUCUCCCAAAACACCUAAACUCCACCCCAAAAUGUCCACAGUAAAGGAGGGCAGGAGUGUAGAGGUACCUACAGAGAGCAUGGUUUGCUUUUGGUUUAAAGGGGUACCCUUUAGAUUCCUGCCAGAAGGUCUGAAUCCUGUACAUGAAGCUCAUCAAGGGGUUUAAUUAAAAAGUGUAGGCACUCCCCUUAAGUCUGGAUCAGAUGCCCACAUAUAUGGUUCCCUCUGUCAAAACCCAUCUCCUUUACUUGGUUCUGGCCACUUCUUCCUGUGGCCUAAUCCUGUUUGGACAGAGCCCUCCUAGAACUGACUGAGGGUGUGAACCAUCCGAUUUACAGCACAGUUGAUCCCACCUGAAGAAACCUGUUGGGUUUAGUUUAAAGUGUUGAAAUUGGGGAAGAAACACUCUUGAGAUCCCUGGUGCUGUUGUCCUCUUUGAUCUCUGUGGCAAUCCUUCGUUGAGGCAAGUCACAUCUUUAAUGUCUUAAGGUUUUGAUUCAGGCAAGUCCACCUCACGGCAGGGAUUAGCUGGAUCUGUCCUGUCCUUUUGUAACUCCCCAUUUCUUUGGUUGGCAAUGCUUUGAUCACUUCCAAUCUCAGAUCCCUGCAGGAUGCCAUUGUUUUCCAAGGGGUACUUCCUCUUGACAAGUCAGUUCUCAGUGAGUUGUAGUUUACUGUCUGCUUAAUUCCUUUCAGUGGGGUAAUCCUAAAGUCAAACAUUCUCUGUUACUAGCCUGUGUCAGUACACACAACGCUGUGGAGGAUUUCCAUCCUGCACAGAGAGCAGAAGACAAGGGGAUGAGGAAAAUCCCAACUUUGCAUUUUGACAGGUACCAUCACUUCAGCAGGAGACCAGUAACCAUUUGAGGAUUUCCAGAUCAUUUCAAGGCCAGGAUUGGGAUGAGCUCUGCCAAAGGCAAGUGGAACAGAGGGAGCAGGGUCCAUAUCCUUGGUACCAGCGUGACCAAAACUGGACCAUGUCAUCUUCAGGUGCAGUAGGCUCGUGCGUGAAGGUCAGUGAGCACAACAACGUACUGAGGAGUCUUCAGAAACAGGCUUUGAAUGAACCAGGCUACCCCAUUCGGAACAUCCAACAGUUUAUUCCUUUGUGAUCUAUUAUUUCUAUGGAUGAUUCUCAAAAAGCUGCUGUUCCUGCAUAUAACAGGAUGGGGAGAAGUGGUUGGUAAUGUCAUUUUUUAAACACAUAUUUUCCCUGAUGCCUAAAAACCAGGAUGGGAAAGGAAUCCUCUUUAUCUGUUCAGAACUAUGGCUUAGAUCUCUUUAUCUGGUGGGAGACUGUGGCUAACCCAGAGCUGGGGGGCUGGCGGCUUUGGAAGCCUUUGCUUGAAAAGACAUGGAUUUAAAGUCUCAGCCAACAUGGCUUCUCCCCAGGUAUUUGAGUUAAUGAACAGAAAUAGAAACCAGAUAAUUUUAAGCCACCUGUAGUAAAGCAAUUUCCUUUGCAGAGCAGAUUUUGCUGCCGUCUUUCUCUGAUUCUGACUACGUACCCCACGGGACAGAAAACCUCAGCAUCCAGGGUCCAGUUCAGGUGCUGUGUUUGGAACCGCUGUGCUGCGCAUGGGAGCUGCUCUUCGGCCACAGCUACUCUGGAGCAUUUCCUUCCCCAUGGGCUCAGUGCUGACUUCCAGGCGGUGCUGCCAGUGCCCGCUGUUUCCCAUUCCCAGGCUCCCAGCACAGGACCACCCUGGCAGGAGGGGUAAGGGCUGUGCCUCGGGUGCUGCAGAUGGGUAGCGGGGCUGGUCUCUUGGCUCCUGUUUUGAAAUGCAGGCAUCAAAGUGAAAGCAGUGUUGUAGUAAACUUGUUUGGAAACUCUCAAAGAGAACUUUCCUUUUCCCACGUGUUUUCCAUUUUGUUGGUUUUGCAAUCUCAACUUCUCAGCCCAAUUCAGAGAUCUUUUUCUUUUCCAAAUGUAGUGAGUUUCCAAAACCAAACAAAAAGUGGAGCGUUUUCCUGGAGCAGAAAUCCCGUUUUCACGCAUGCGUUUCCGCUGAUUUCUGUGGGACUUCUUGCAUCUCUAAACAGCUACAGAGCAUUAGUGAAACACAACCAUUAAUCCUGUAGUAGGUUAAAAGUGUCCUGUCAACCCAUGGAUAAUAAAUCCUGGAUAUAGUGAAAUUUUUCAUAACUUUUUGGUAAAAGAGGCUGCAUUUCCCCAGUGAUUUACAGGGGCUGUGAUUCUUAAAGGGCCUAAAAUAACUUCCCACUUUACAAGUAUUUAAACUCCUUCCCUGCCCAAACAGGGAUGCUCUGCUGGCCGUGCUGCUGCCUAAUGAAAUAUUUACUAUCCCUGUGUAUCUGGUGGCUGAACCAGGAGUGGAAAGUGCUGAUGCACACAGCUCUGUGAGUACAGCCUUGACCUUGGCGUGCUGACCCUGCUCGCUCCGCUCACCCCGGCGCUGGGAGCCUUUCAUCCCUGCAGCUCCUCUGGCUUGCAUGGAUUUUGCUUUCCCCAAAACCUCUUUGACAGGUGAAAAUGACUUUCUUUGAAGAUCCCCAGAGAGGCAGAUUCCCCUUUGGUCUACAGUUUGCUGCGCCAGCACCUCUCUGUGUGUUGGUGUUUCUGUUUGCUCUCUGUGCCUUUUGCCUCUGCUGUGCUCUAAAUACUCAUCUAACGAGGUGAACGUCUUUAAUUACUAUUUUUCUGUGCGGAAUGGCUCAUGGUCCCCUGGUCUUUUGAUAAUAUCAGACUGAAAAGGGGAAAAAAAAUGCCUUUAAACAAUUUUCUGACUCCCUCUAGAGGAUUUCUUUCCAAGCCCAGAAAUAGCUCCACAGUGGGAGAAGCCGAGCAUUCCGUCACUGCGCCUGCCCAGCUGGGUUUCAGUGCAGAUUACAUCUUCCCCGGUUCCCACAGCUUGCUUUCUUCUGCCAGUCGCUGCUAAUGUCUCCCAGCUUUUAUUCCCACUGUUCUUGGAAUAUAAAUGCUCACAGCCUGUUUUCCCUUAGGCAGUGCCAGAUCUCUGCCAGAGGAUCCCGCUGCAGUCAUCACUGCCCGUGAGCACCCAUGAUGUGAUGUGCUCGCUCCUUUGGACCAAACUUCCUGAGACUAUCAAGUAGAAAACUGAAUUUUCACACCUUUUAAAUGCCUUCUCUCCCAAUGCGUAGUGAAAUCCUAAUGUCUCGUUUUAAUAAUGUCUGGGGUUGUUUUCCCCCCUUGUAUUUCUCUCCUAUUGCUUUCCCUGUGUCGUGCCACGGGUGAUGGAAAACGCCGUGGAAGCUGGGCAGAGUGGUGUGGCUGCUUUGCAGAGGUCACAGGAGGACUGGAGACCUCUUUACUACAGCAUCCUCUACAGAAUGCUGACGGUGUCUGUGCUCUGUAAGGAAAAAUGCUCCAGGGCGCUCUGUGUGACGGCUGUUCCUCUGACAUGUGGAAACGACAGGGGAUUUAUUCCUCCUGUUUGAGAUGUGUUAUCUUACGGCACCAUUCAGUACCAUUAUCUUAUUUAACCGUUUCAGACGUGUUCUCUUAUUUAACUGGGGAAAUAUUGCUAGCAAUAGUGGGAACGAGCAAUCCUGGGCUCUUCUUACUGCUGCUUGUUACACAAUUUUUCAGGCUCUUCCUUGGCAAGCAGCUGUGGAUGAGGCUAAUAGCUGGAUUAUUGCUGCACUAAAUCAUUCUCAAUUUGAUACAGGUUGCAGCCACCUCUAAUUCACCCUCUUAUUUCCUAAAGGAAAUGUUAACCAGAACGAUCACUUUAAUAGCAGUAGCUAAUGGUGGGCAAUAGCGUUUGAUUCUUUUAACAUACUCAGAGUCACCAGAGAAGUAAAUCAUAGUGUAAUCGACUAAUGCUGCUAUCGGUCCCCUGGCCACGAGGUCAGGGGCGGGUACAUGGAAGCACCUCUCUGCUUCCCUGCUCCCACAUUGAUCCUGUGCUCUGUGCUUCAACCAGUUUCUUUGGGGAGCCAGGUCCCCUGUUACAGCCUUAGCACACACUGCUGGGACAGAACCCCCCUGUACACCCUAAACACAGCACACCCGUGCUCAAGAGACUCUUCUCAUGGAAAGCUUGAAAGCAGUGAAUGGUGUUUUAUUAACAUGUGCCACUUCCCUACGGGUAGCAGGUUAAUUCAACCCCUGCAAAAGCAGUGACGGGUACCUCAGGGUUUGGAAGGUCCAUUGGUGCUUUGCUGGGGAACGGUCUGUAUCGGCGAUGGUGCAGUGGAAGCUGUUACUUAUUGCUGGUCGCGAAUCUUGGCUGUCACCGCUUCUCUGGCCUAAUCACAGCAAAUUAUGGUGUCAGUAAUGUCCUAGUUGGAGUCUGCAGCCUC